UUGUAUUGCCUCUGGUUUAUUUUGUUGUCGUAUUAGAUAAUAUUAAAAUCAAAGGAAGAGUUUUUGCAUAGGUGUGUUAUGGUUCACGUGAAGAGCUGUUAGGGAGAAGAAUAUUUUAUUUGGUUAGUAGCAAGAACCGAGAUGCAGAAGGGGGAAAAGUUCUUUUAUUGAAGAUUGGAAUUUUGGAAAAAGGGGGUUUGGUGUUGGGCGUGAGGCAUGAGGGAUUUGUGAGAAUGACAAAGGUUAAGAGUAGGAUGUGUUUUAACGUAAGAAACUUGGUAGGGAUGAAGGAGAGUAGCUCUUGGGUUUGGCUUGAGAGUGAAGAAGGUUAAGGACGAAGAUACAUAGUGGCUGCUGGAAUGAGGUUUUAUAAAAUGAGGAAGUUUAAGUGAAAGAAGAAAGAAUAGAAAUAAAAGGAAGAGUUACUUGAGUGUUGUAUAAAAUAAUUUUAAAUACUUUAAUAUUGAGAGGGUUUUAAUGAUUUGGGGUGCAGGAAAUAUUAUACGU
Molecule: long non-coding RNA, 507 nt
Filed under: Vigna radiata
Lineage: Eukaryota; Viridiplantae; Streptophyta; Magnoliopsida; Fabales; Fabaceae
Description: long non-coding RNA (VRAD_LNC006864)
Source: RNAcentral